AUUGAACGCUGGCGGAAUGCUUUACACAUGCAAGUCGAACGGCAGCACGGGAGCUUGCUCCUGGUGGCGAGUGGCGAACGGGUGAGUAAUACAUCGGAACGUACCCAGUUAUGGGGGAUAACUAACCGAAAGGUUAGCUAAUACCGCAUACGCCCUGAGGGGGAAAGGGGGGAGUCUUCGGACCUCUCGCUAUCAGAUGA
This 200-nucleotide ribosomal RNA is filed under the name uncultured bacterium. Its description in RNAcentral is "partial 16S ribosomal RNA". It matches the Rfam family "Bacterial small subunit ribosomal RNA", at positions 30 to 228 of the family's 1533-position model. The record is from RNAcentral.